Triticum aestivum (bread wheat) is the source of this 135-nucleotide non-coding RNA. The record is from Rfam. NCBI's taxonomy places the organism in Eukaryota, Viridiplantae, Streptophyta, Magnoliopsida, Poales, Poaceae.
CAACUACUCCCUCUGUCCCAAAUUUCUUGUCUUAGAUUUGUCGAGAUACGGAUGUAUCUAAUACUAAAAUGUGACUUGAUACGUCCGUAUCUAGUCAGAUCUAAGACAAGAAUUUUGGGACGGAGGGAGUACUUU